GAUGAACGCUGGCGGCGUGCCUAACACAUGCAAGUCGAGCGAACAUACGAGGAGCUUGCUUUUCUUACGUUAGUGGCGGACGGGUGAGUAACACGUGGGUAACCUACCUUGGAGAGUGGGAUAACUUUUGGAAACCGGAGCUAAUACCGGAUAAGCUAUUGAUCCGGAUUGGUCUUGAGGGAAAGACGUUUAUGCUGUCACUGAUAGACUCGUGCGCGCUGAAUUAGUUAGUUGGUAAGGUAACGACUUACCAAGGCAAUGAUGCGUAGCCGACCUGAGAGGGUGGUCGGCCACACUGGCACUGAGACACGGUCCAGACUCCUACGGGAGGCCACAGUAGGGAAUCUUCCGCAAUGGGGGAAAGCUUGACAGAGCAACGCCGCGUGAGUGAUGAAGGUCUUCGGAUCGUAAAACUCUGUUAUUAGGGAGAAACAAAUGUGUAAGUAACUGUGCCCGUCUUGACGGUACCUAAUAAGAAAGCCACGGCUAACUACGUG
This 497-nucleotide ribosomal RNA is filed under the name uncultured bacterium. RNAcentral describes it as "partial 16S ribosomal RNA". It matches the Rfam family "Bacterial small subunit ribosomal RNA", at positions 28 to 507 of the family's 1533-position model. The record is from RNAcentral.